UACGUAGGUUGCGAGCGUUAUCCGGAAUCAUUGGGCGUAAAGCGUCUCACGGCGGUUUUGAAAGUCUGUGGUUAAAUCCCGGGGCUCAACCCCGGAUUCGUCAUGGAAACUUCAAGACUUGAGCAGCGAAGAGGUAGAUGGAAUUUCGGAAGUAGGGGUAAAAUCCGUAGAUCUCCGAAGGAACACCAAACGCGAAGGCAUUCUACUGGUCGCUUGCUGACGCUCACGGACGAAAGCGUGGGGAGCAAACAGG
RNAcentral lists this ribosomal RNA (253 nucleotides) under uncultured bacterium. RNAcentral's name for it is "partial 16S ribosomal RNA". It matches the Rfam family "Bacterial small subunit ribosomal RNA", at positions 524 to 776 of the family's 1533-position model. The record is from RNAcentral.